RNAcentral lists this ribosomal RNA (400 nucleotides) under uncultured bacterium. Its description in RNAcentral is "bacterial SSU rRNA". It matches the Rfam family "Bacterial small subunit ribosomal RNA", at positions 356 to 773 of the family's 1533-position model. The record is from RNAcentral.
GGGGAAUAUUGGACAAUGGGCGAAAGCCUGAUCCAGCCAUGCCGCGUGAGUGAUGAAGGCCUUAGGGUUGUAAAGCUCUUUCAGUGGGGAAGAUAAUGACGGUACCCACAGAAGAAGCCCCGGCUAACUUCGUGCCAGCAGCCGCGGUAAUACGAAGGGGGCUAGCGUUGUUCGGAUUUACUGGGCGUAAAGCGCACGUAGGCGGUUUGUUAAGUCAGGGGUGAAAUCCCGGAGCUCAACUCCGGAACUGCCUCUGAUACUGGCAAGCUAGAGUCCGGAAGAGGUAAGUGGAACUCCUAGUGUAGAGGUGGAAUUCGUAGAUAUUAGGAAGAACACCAGUGGCGAAGGCGGCUUACUGGUCCGGAACUGACGCUGAGGUGCGAAAGCGUGGGGAGCAAAC